This 217-nucleotide long non-coding RNA is filed under the name Brachypodium distachyon (stiff brome). RNAcentral describes it as "long non-coding RNA (BDIS_LNC000595)". The record is from RNAcentral. Lineage: Eukaryota; Viridiplantae; Streptophyta; Magnoliopsida; Poales; Poaceae.
GAACUCCCUCUCCCACUGCUAUCCCUUUGCUCUCUCUUUCCCGUCUCUCUUCUGCUCGUCCCCACCGCAAGCCCGGCCAGCCGGCAGCGAGCCUCCGCCGUCCGCCGCGAGCCCCAGCCCCGGCCCCUCACCUCCCCGCGCCGCCCACGGCCGGUGCCUCCGUUCUCUCGCGUUCCUUCUCUCUCCCUCUCUCUCUCUCUCUCUCUCUCUCUCUCUC